This is a non-coding RNA of Gymnothorax javanicus (giant moray), 71 nucleotides long. The record is from the annotation of a GenBank genome assembly. Lineage: Eukaryota; Metazoa; Chordata; Actinopteri; Anguilliformes; Muraenidae.
GGCAUGGUGGUGCAGUGGGUAGCAGUGCCGCCUCACAACAAGGUCGUGGGUUCGAAUCCAGCCUGGUGCCU